Hemicordylus capensis (graceful crag lizard) is the source of this 1103-nucleotide long non-coding RNA. RefSeq lists it as uncharacterized. The transcript has 3 exons. NCBI's taxonomy places the organism in Eukaryota, Metazoa, Chordata, Lepidosauria, Squamata, Cordylidae. The record is from RefSeq and is a predicted model, not a curated record.
UGAGGCCUGAACUCGAGUCCAGAGCCUGGACUCAGGUUCUGAGCAGGAAGAAAACCAAACAAAUCCCCAUCACCAACCCUGGGAAGCCAGACCCAGACCUGGAGAGAUUAUCUCCCCUAACCAGUACUCACUUCAGGAGCUGAACCCAAAUGUACCAGAAAUGUCCCAUUCUUCAGUGCCCACUCACCAAAACAAGAAACAUACCAGGUGAGAGUUGGCUGAGAAACGAGGGGCCUAGGCCUGCGUCUAGGCCUGCGUCUUGCCCUUUUAAAGGAUGCACACUCUGCAACAGAAGGGUGUAGACGGAAGGAGGCAGUCAGGGCCAAGAAACAUAAAAUAACUUGGUGCUGGGACUUUGUUGGAUCAACUUGCUCCCUUGGAGCUUGCCCCUGUUGGAGACAAGACUAAGCCAGAAUAAAACCAAAAGAGCUGGAAAUAUGGAGCAGGAAGAAGUGCUAGGAAAUUACCUCUGUUUAAAUAAUCCAGUUGAGACCUUUGUUAAUGAAAAAAGAAAGUACUGUUACCUACAUUGAGAACAGAGUAAAUCACUGAGAAACUAACGUGAGUGUCCAUUAGUUAGUUAGAACAUUCCUAGAUUCAUUGACCCAGCACCAGAUACUGUUCCCCAGUCCCCUCCUUCCCCACCCUCCCAGAGUCAUUGCAAUUUGUGAUAAAUGCAACAUUUCAGAAUUGCAGUAGAAAAUAUGGCCAUUUUAAAAAAUCGUUCUUGUCUUCCAGUCCUUUGCUGAGUUUACAAUGCAGGAUGAAAUCACCCAGGAGAAGGUUUGCUUGCCUGCUUUCUUGCCCACUUGGGCACAUGCCCCCACCUCGGAUCUCUUCCUGAGGUGGGUAGAUCACUUGGAUCCCGUAUGCACUGUUGUUACUGUGGUCUGCCUAGGUCUUCUCUCUCCUACUGCAGAAACGCCAGAUGAAGCUGAUGAUGCAAAACUACAGAGAGUGGAUGUGGCCAUACCUGAAAGAGAGAGAAAAGGAAAGAAGAUUCAGAGAUAUCAUCCCAAUAUGGAGAGUCAAAUUCAUAUUCUGCCUUAAGGAUCUGCUCAAAAAGCUUGGAAUCAUUUUCAUCAUAGAAGGGAGGAUACCCA